This 1341-nucleotide non-coding RNA is filed under the name Pseudomonas syringae pv. actinidiae ICMP 19096. RNAcentral's name for it is "bacterial LSU rRNA". It matches the Rfam family "Bacterial large subunit ribosomal RNA", at positions 1 to 1319 of the family's 2925-position model. Lineage: Bacteria; Pseudomonadati; Pseudomonadota; Gammaproteobacteria; Pseudomonadales; Pseudomonadaceae. The record is from RNAcentral.
GGUCAAGUGAAGAAGCGCAUACGGUGGAUGCCUUGGCAGUCAGAGGCGAUGAAAGACGUGGUAGCCUGCGAAAAGCUUCGGGGAGUCGGCAAACAGACUGUGAUCCGGAGAUGUCUGAAUGGGGGAACCCAGCCAUCAUAAGAUGGUUAUCUUACACUGAAUACAUAGGUGUAAGAGGCGAACCAGGGGAACUGAAACAUCUAAGUACCCUGAGGAAAAGAAAUCAACCGAGAUUCCCUUAGUAGUGGCGAGCGAACGGGGACCAGCCCUUAAGUUGUAUUGAGAUUAGCGGAACGCUCUGGAAAGUGCGGCCAUAGUGGGUGAUAGCCCUGUACGCGAAAAUCCCUUUGCAAUGAAAUCGAGUAGGACGGGGCACGAGAAACCUUGUCUGAAUAUGGGGGGACCAUCCUCCAAGGCUAAAUAAAUGAAAUCGAGUAGGACGGGGCACGAGAAACCUUGUCUGAAUAUGGGGGGACCAUCCUCCAAGGCUAAAUACUACUGACUGACCGAUAGUGAACCAGUACCGUGAGGGAAAGGCGAAAAGAACCGCGGAGAGCGGAGUGAAAUAGAUCCUGAAACCGUAUGCGUACAAGCAGUGGGAGCCCACUUUGUUGGGUGACUGCGUACCUUUUGUAUAAUGGGUCAGCGACUUAUUUUCAGUGGCGAGCUUAACCGAAUAGGGGAGGCGUAGCGAAAGCGAGUCUUAAUAGGGCGUCUAGUCGCUGGGAAUAGACCCGAAACCGGGCGAUCUAUCCAUGGGCAGGUUGAAGGUUGGGUAACACUAACUGGAGGACCGAACCGACUACCGUUGAAAAGUUAGCGGAUGACCUGUGGAUCGGAGUGAAAGGCUAAUCAAGCUCGGAGAUAGCUGGUUCUCCUCGAAAGCUAUUUAGGUAGCGCCUCAUGUAUCACUGUAGGGGGUAGAGCACUGUUUCGGCUAGGGGGUCAUCCCGACUUACCAAACCGAUGCAAACUCCGAAUACCUACAAGUGCCGAGCAUGGGAGACACACGGCGGGUGCUAACGUCCGUCGUGAAAAGGGAAACAACCCAGACCGUCAGCUAAGGUCCCAAAGUCAUGGUUAAGUGGGAAACGAUGUGGGAAGGCUUAGACAGCUAGGAGGUUGGCUUAGAAGCAGCCACCCUUUAAAGAAAGCGUAAUAGCUCACUAGUCGAGUCGGCCUGCGCGGAAGAUGUAACGGGGCUCAAACCAUGCACCGAAGCUACGGGUAUCAUCUUAUGAUGAUGCGGUAGAGGAGCGUUCUGUAAGCCUGUGAAGGUGAGUUGAGAAGCUUGCUGGAGGUAUCAGAAGUGCGAAUGCUGACAUGAGUAACGACAAUGGG